RNAcentral lists this long non-coding RNA (557 nucleotides) under Ricinus communis (castor bean). RNAcentral's name for it is "long non-coding RNA (RCOM_LNC000084)". Lineage: Eukaryota; Viridiplantae; Streptophyta; Magnoliopsida; Malpighiales; Euphorbiaceae. The record is from RNAcentral.
AGGAUGUCCAUAUAAACUCCUUAAUUGCUUCUGCAUUAUUUAUAGCAAAAGGUUGUCUUUUGGAGAGUAUACUUUUGUCCUAGCUACUUCAGAACUAUGACUGUGUUUGAUAAAUAUUUAGAAUAGAGAGAGAGGCUUCUGUUUCCUUGAAUGACAAACAAAUAAAGGAAAUUUUCAUACAAUUCACAACAACGAAUUGAGCUGGGACGCUUAAAAGGAAAGCUUUCAAAUAUGUUGAUGCAUGGCUCCUUGCUUUUCUAGAGCCUGGCUUGGGAUCAACCAUGCCCAAACCAAUGGAAAUGGACGAUCUCCUCUAAUGUGCUUCUAAACUUGGGUACGCAGUUAUGUAUACGUAGAAUAAUACAGGUGCAUUGGGGCUUGAUUAUAUUUUUCUUUUUUGGUUUGUUCUGAUUUAGGAAUGUGAAUUGUUUUUACUCAACAGUAAUUUCCCUCUUUAUAAUUAAGUAGAGUUUACAGCACUGGUCGUAUUGUAAAAUUUCAACUUAAUUACGAUCUAACAAUGUCUAACCCAUUUAUUAUUCUUUUAUUUACAAAAA